AACUGAAACAUCUAAGUACCCCGAGGAAAAGAAAUCAACCGAGAUUCCCCCAGUAGCGGCGAGCGAACGGGGAGCAGCCCAGAGUCUGAAUCAGCUUGUGUGUUAGUGGAACGGUCUGGAAAGUCCGACGGUACAGGGUGAUAGUCCCGUACACCAAAAUGCACAGGCUGUGAACUCGAAGAGUAGGGCGGGACACGUGGUAUCCUGUCUGAAUAUGGGGGGACCAUCCUCCAAGGCUAAAUACUCCUGACUGACCGAUAGUGAACCAGUACCGUGAGGGAAAGGCGAAAAGAACCCCGGCGAGGGGAGUGAAAAAGAACCUGAAACCGUGUACGUACAAGCAGUGGGAGCACCUUCGGGUGUGACUGCGUACCUUUUGUAUAAUGGGUCAGCGACUUAUAUUCUGUAGCAAGGUUAACCGUAUAGGGGAGCCGCAGGGAAACCGAGUCUUAACUGGGCGUUAAGUUGCAGGGUAUAGACCCGAAACCCGGUGAUCUAGCCAUGGGCAGGUUGAAGGUUGGGUAACACUAACUGGAGGACCGAACCGACUAAUGUUGAAAAAUUAGCGGAUGACUUGUGGCUGGGGGUGAAAGGCCAAUCAAACCGGGAGAUAGCUGGUUCUCCCCGAAAGCU
RNAcentral lists this ribosomal RNA (633 nucleotides) under Klebsiella pneumoniae. Its description in RNAcentral is "partial 23S ribosomal RNA". It matches the Rfam family "Bacterial large subunit ribosomal RNA", at positions 191 to 867 of the family's 2925-position model. The record is from RNAcentral. Lineage: Bacteria; Pseudomonadati; Pseudomonadota; Gammaproteobacteria; Enterobacterales; Enterobacteriaceae.